This 305-nucleotide ribosomal RNA is filed under the name uncultured bacterium. RNAcentral describes it as "bacterial SSU rRNA". It matches the Rfam family "Bacterial small subunit ribosomal RNA", at positions 333 to 653 of the family's 1533-position model. The record is from RNAcentral.
UAUGGCCUACGGGAGGCAGCAGUGGGGGAUAUUGCACAAUGGGGGAAACCCUGAUGCAGCGACGCCGCGUGGGCGAAGAAGUAUUUCGGUAUGUAAAGCCCUCUCAGCAGGGAAGAAGAAAUGACGGUACCUGAGUAAGAAGCACCGGCUAAAUACGUGCCAGCAGCCGCGGUAAUACGUAUGGUGCAAGCGUUAUCCGGAUUUACUGGGUGUAAAGGGAGCGCAGGCGGCACGGCAAGCCUGAUGUGCACGCCAGCGGCCCAACCGCGGGACUGCAUUGGGAACUACCGGGCUGGAGUGCCGGG